GUGUGGGAGUCUUGCAUUGUGGCACGUGGGCAUCUCUAGUUGUGGUGUACAGGCUCAGUGGUUGCAGCACCCAGGCUUAGCUGCCCCACAGAGUGUAGGAUCUUAGUUCCCCAACAAGGGAUGGAACCUGAGUCCCUUGCCUUGUAUGGUGGAUUCUUAGCCCCUUGAGCACCAGGGAGUCUCUCUUAAUCUUUCAAGGCUUACAUUUCCUCUUCUAUAAAAUUGGGAAGAUAAUAAUAGUGCCCAAUAGUCCCCCAAUAAUAAUAAUGGGGGUUGUUUAUGAAGGUUAAGUGAGAUCAGCAAACUACAUAGAAACAUACGUGUUGCAAAGUCAGCACUAAAUAAACAUUGUUAGUUACGGUUUAAAGGCUACACAUUUGGAAUAUUGAUAUAAGAAUGAAGACCAGAUUGACUAAUUAUUAGUUGUUAAUCUUAUAUGUAAUAUAAUACUGACUAGUUGUUAAUAUCACCAGUGAAACUAAUAACUGAUACUUGAAUAGUGUUUUAUGGCUAAGAAAAUAUUUUCAUACACGUAUAUUACUUCCUUGAGCACUUUAAACUUGAAGUUCCCCAACUGACCUUUUUGUCCGUUCUUAGAGACUUUCGUUAUCAGUACUGAGAGGAAAUCCACGUAUUUAUCAGUAAUCAAACAGAAAUAGAAUUGGGGGCCCAUGUAGUUGGCAGGUUCGUAAGAUGAGGCCGAGAUCACACUGCUGAGUGCAGGCAGGCUUGGAACCAUCUCCAGGAACCUCAGCGGUACUUCCAACAGCACUGGCGUCACUCUUUGGCCAUCCUCACAGGGUGGUGGCAGAAAUGUCGCCGGAGACUCUAGAUUUCUGGCAAUACUAUUUGGGAACAGCUUGGGUUGCAGUGUAUGCCUCUCCACGACCCACUGACAGUGUGCAGUAACCUCCUGACUGACUGGGCCUGCAUCGCCCAGUCAGGUCACCCUGAGAUUUCAUGAUGGGAGAGUGUCCCUAAAAAGAUUCCAAGCAAGCAGAUAGACAUAGAC
Molecule: long non-coding RNA, 1012 nt
Filed under: Capra hircus (goat)
Lineage: Eukaryota; Metazoa; Chordata; Mammalia; Artiodactyla; Bovidae
Description: lncRNA (ENSCHIG00010000680.1)
Source: RNAcentral